GGAACGCUCUGGGAAGUGCGAACGUAGAGGGUGAUAUUCCCGUACACGAAAGGGCACACAUAAUGAUGACGAGUAGGGCGAGGCACGUGAAACCUUGUCUGAAUAUGGGGGGACCAUCCUCCAAGGCUAAAUACUCCUGACUGACCGAUAGUGAACCAGUACCGUGAGGGAAAGGCGAAAAGAACCCCUGUGAGGGGAGUGAAAUAGAUCCUGAAACCGCAUGCAUACAAGCAGUGGGAGCACCUUCGUGGUGUGACUGCGUACCUUUUGUAUAAUGGGUCAGCGACUUAUAUUCAGUAGCAAGGUUAACCGUAUAGGGGAGCCGUAGAGAAAUCGAGUCUUAAUAGGGCGUUUAGUUGCUGGGUAUAGACCCGAAACCAGGCGAUCUAUCCAUGAGCAGGUUGAAGGUUGGGUAACACUAACUGGAGGACCGAACCCACUGUCGUUGAAAAGCCAGGGGAUGACUUGUGGAUAGGGGUGAAAGGCUAAUCAAGCCUGGUGAUAGCUGGUUCUCCCCGAAAGCUAUUUAGGUAGCGCCUCGGACGAAUACCAUAGGGGGUAGAGCACUGUUUCGGCUAGGGGGUCAUCCCGACUUACCAAACCGAUGCAAACUCCGAAUACCUAUGAGUACUAUCCGGGAGACAGACUGCGGGUGCUAACGUCCGUAGUCAAGAGGAAAACAAUCCAGACCGCCAGCUAAGGCCCCAAAAUCAUAGUUAAGUGGGAAACGAUGUGGGAAGGCAUAGACAGCUAGGAGGUUGGCUUAGAAGCAGCCACCCUUUAAAGAAAGCGUAAUAGCUCACUAGUCGAGUCGGCCUGCGCGGAAGAUGUAACGGGGCUAAAACUAUGUGCCGAAGCUGCGGAUGUAUACUUUGUAUACGUGGUAGGGGAGCGUUCUGUAAGCCGAUGAAGGUGUGUUGAGAAGCAUGCUGGAGGUAUCAGAAGUGCGAAUGCUGACGUGAGUAACGACAAAACGGGUGAAAAACCCGUUCGCCGAAAGACCAAGGGUUCCAGUCCAACGUUAAUCGGGGCUGGGUGAGUCGACCCCUAAGGCGAGGCCGAAAGGCGUAGUCGAUGGGAAAAUGGUUAAUAUUCCAUUACUUCUGUGUAAUGCGAUGAGAGGACGGAGAAGGCUAAAUCAGCCUGGCGUUGGUUGUCCAGGUGAAAGGAUGUAGGCAUGUAUCUUAGGCAAAUCCGGGGUACUCUAUGCUGAGAUCUGAUAGCAAGCUGUACUUGUACAGCGAAGUGGUUGAUGCCAUGCUUCCAGGAAAAGUCUCUAAGCUUCAGUUACACAGGAAUCGUACCCGAAACCGACACAGGUGGUCAGGUCGAGUAGACCAAGGCGCUUGAGAGAACUCUGCUGAAGGAACUAGGCAAAAUGGUACCGUAACUUCGGGAGAAGGUACGCUGUUGUUGGUGAUGGAACUCGCUUCCUGAGCUGACGACAGCCGCAGAAACCAGGCCGCUGCAACUGUUUAUUAAAAACAUAGCACUCUGCAAACAC
RNAcentral lists this ribosomal RNA (1504 nucleotides) under Acinetobacter baumannii. Its description in RNAcentral is "bacterial LSU rRNA". It matches the Rfam family "Bacterial large subunit ribosomal RNA", at positions 334 to 1832 of the family's 2925-position model. Lineage: Bacteria; Pseudomonadati; Pseudomonadota; Gammaproteobacteria; Moraxellales; Moraxellaceae. The record is from RNAcentral.